This 429-nucleotide ribosomal RNA is filed under the name Fusobacteriota bacterium. Its description in RNAcentral is "Fusobacteria bacterium partial 16S ribosomal RNA". It matches the Rfam family "Bacterial small subunit ribosomal RNA", at positions 355 to 776 of the family's 1533-position model. The record is from RNAcentral. Lineage: Bacteria; Fusobacteriati; Fusobacteriota.
UGGGGAAUAUUGCGCAAUGGGCGAAAGCCUGACGCAGCGACGCCGCGUGAGGGAUGAAGGUUUUCGGAUCGUAAACCUCUGUCAGAAGGGAAGAAACCGCACUGUGCUAAUCAGCAGUGCCUUGACGGUACCUUCAAAGGAAGCACCGGCUAACUCCGUGCCAGCAGCCGCGGUAAUACGGAGGUUGCAAGCGUUAAUCGGAAUUACUGGGCGUAAAGCGCACGUAGGCUGCUUUGUAAGUCAGGGGUGAAAUCCCACGGCUCAACCGUGGAACUGCCUUUGAUACUGCUAAACUUGAAUCCGGGAGAGGGUGGCGGAAUUCCAGGUAUAGGAGUGAAGUCCGUAGAUAUCUGGAAGAACAUCAGUGACGAAGGCGGCCACCUGGGCCGGUAUUGACGCUGAGGUGCGAAAGCGUGGGGAGCAAACAGG